CAUAGGAUGACAAAGGGAAGCC
This 22-nucleotide microRNA is filed under the name Oreochromis niloticus (Nile tilapia). RNAcentral describes it as "oni-miR-204b". Its record names the gene oni-miR-204b. Lineage: Eukaryota; Metazoa; Chordata; Actinopteri; Cichliformes; Cichlidae. The record is from miRBase by way of RNAcentral.